RNAcentral lists this small RNA (76 nucleotides) under Xanthomonas arboricola. RNAcentral's name for it is "sRNA sX9". It matches the Rfam family "Xanthomonas sRNA sX9". Lineage: Bacteria; Pseudomonadati; Pseudomonadota; Gammaproteobacteria; Lysobacterales; Lysobacteraceae. The record is from RNAcentral.
AUGCACCACACGGACACGCCGGUUGCUGCGCGCGGUCCAUGUUCACCUGGCGUCCGCGUGUUUCGUGUUGCCAACC